AACUUCGAGUUCCAUCCCCCUUGGGUCUGUGGCCUGGUGGGGUGGGAUUUGGACUUGGGUGCUUGCCAGACCCUGGCUCACCUCAAAUGACUUAGUGGGGAUCGGUGGCCCAUGGCUUGACGUGAUAAGUUUCGUCUGGCUUGGCCAUGUGAUGCCUGCUCACAACCCCCAUCACCUUUUGG
RNAcentral lists this unclassified non-coding RNA (182 nucleotides) under uncultured Tremellomycetes. RNAcentral's name for it is "sequence contains ITS2". Lineage: Eukaryota; Fungi; Basidiomycota; Tremellomycetes. The record is from RNAcentral.